AACAGGACAUUAUCAACCUCCCUAAACCUGUUCAAGACAAAAAAGUUAAACACUCUGACCAAUUUUAUUGAAAUGCUCUGAAUCAGGUAAGCUAAGUAAAAAUAAUCCACAUUAUCGGACUGCUAUCUAUUGAUCCGAAAGUAUAUUUAAUUUGGCUGAGAAAAAUCCAGCGAGAAUGAACUAUAAAGAACUCCUGGACGACUUUCAGGAGGACAAACAAUGCAUUGACAGUUUUACAGAGGAUAUGCCAAGGAUCUUAAGUCGUCUUUUAUCUCGCCAUGUUCUGUCGUGAUGAUCUUGGCCUGGAGCAUUUCAGUAGAAUUACUAGACAUCUCAAACAUGCACAAAUUCCUGAGUUUUUUCUUCAACAUCAGCAACCUCACAGCACACAUCCAGAGAGAAUGGAGUCACAUCUAUGAUGCUGCCAUUGUAAAAUGCUAAUAAUAAACAAGAAAGAGUGUUUAUUAGUGAGAAUAUCACGUUAUUUGACAGUGUGAUGCGCACUUGAUACCUUCAGGCGAUGUUACCUUACAGGCUGGUGUUGCAUUAAAUCACACUAUCAAAAAAUAAAUACAUAUCCUGAAUUAUUUAUAAGUAUCUGUAUGUCAUCAAUUGAAAUAGGUGUAUUAAUUAGGUGGAUGCUUUUCGUAAUCAUUCAAUUAUUAAUGAGAGUAUGAAUUCUAGCUGGAGGCUUGAAAAAGGUGUGGCUCAGUGUUUCCUGAUGCCAGAACUAACAUGUAACUAAUAGACUCUGCUCUACACAAUCUUUUCAGGCUUUUUAUUUCUGUUAUUUAUUCUUUAUUCUUCUUAUCAGACAGUGCAGUGAGAUUGAGGUGCUGUUAGAUCAGCUUGGCAAAAAAAUGAGCGGAGGAAAUCUGCCCAAAAAAAUCUCCCAGGAAAAACACUAAGCCCAGGAAAUUUGAUCUGACCCAGCCCAAAGCUCGCCCGCUCCCUGCUCCUGAAGUCAUUCCACGGAAGGACAAGUUCAAGCCAGUACCAGCCACCACUCACAGAACUCCAAAGGAACCAGAGAUUCUGGAUGAGAUGAAGCAGAGUAAUCAACAAAAGCUUUA
Long non-coding RNA from Cyprinus carpio (common carp), 1073 nucleotides. RefSeq lists it as uncharacterized. The transcript is spliced from 4 exons. The record is from RefSeq and is a predicted model, not a curated record. NCBI's taxonomy places the organism in Eukaryota, Metazoa, Chordata, Actinopteri, Cypriniformes, Cyprinidae.